Molecule: long non-coding RNA, 1327 nt
Organism: Chrysemys picta bellii (western painted turtle)
Lineage: Eukaryota; Metazoa; Chordata; Testudines; Emydidae
Source: RefSeq, a predicted model, not a curated record
UCAUGAGGAGUGGCUUGGGAGAAAGCUGGCUUCUCAAUAAACAAUUUCACACUAUGAAGAUGGGUAUCAUUGGAGGAGCAAAGGCAAAUGAUGAAUGGAGGCAGCCAGCUGACUUUAAAUGGUUAUCAACUGCAAUUGCUGUUUGACGUGAACAUGGAAACAAUGAGACAAGUCUCAAGGAAGGCAGAUGAGUCAUGUGGAACACUGCCUCAGCUGCUCCCAGUUGAGAUUUCUCUACCCCAGUCCCAGAAGGUAUCUUCACUGCUCCAGGCACCAUGAAAGCCAUGACUACUGAGACUUAUUGGAAUAUUGGUCUCGUUGUGCAACCUUAACAAGCCAGCCAGGAACAGUAAGCCAUUACCUUGAUGAAAAUAUUCAUUUCAACUCUUCACAACAAUGAAACUGAGAGGAAUUCAUCAGGUGAACAGCAGUGCUGUGAAUAUAUACUCAUGUGAAUAGGUUCAAAGUCAUGUGUCACAGAGUCAAACUGCAUAACCUGACAGGUAUUGAAAGAGGCUAAUUAAUCACCUCCAGCAUCUGUUAAGGCAAAAUAUAUUUUCUUUAGUCUUUCAGCAGGGAGUUUCUGCUUCCUGCAGUCCUCCAUAUCAUGAAGUGUUCAUAGUCAUUAACAUGACAAUAGUCAUACCAAUCCAGGGAAACAAAGAAGACGGAUUACUACUGGAUUUGGGGUCUCAUCCAAAGCCCACUGAAGUCAAUAACUUCAAUGCACUUUGGAUCUGGCCUUAAUUGUGGCUGCCUGUGCAUGGCCAAUCUGGGAAGAAAAGUACAGAGCAUGUGCAGGAGGCAAUGUUCACUGAAUACGAUAUGGGAAUUGGCUUGCUCGUUUGGAAGUGUUCUGUGUCCCCCAAUGGCUAUUGUUGGUGAUCAGUUUCCUGUCUUUCUGCCAGAACUCAGAGACCAGCACUGGGGGAAUGCAUGCUACUCUUUUUAUUUCAUAGAUGUAGGAAGUGCUGCCACUCAACAUAUUUCCUGACCCCCAAGCCAUUGGUUUAUGGUAGAACAUCUUAGCUCCCAGUGGUAUUGAGAAUAUGAUUUUACUGAAGGGUACACAAGAAGAAUUUGACUCGUGUUCUGUGUUGCACUGUUAAUGAGCAGACAACUGAUUCUGAAGGGCUGGAUGACCCCGCCAUCCACAUACACUCCCAUUAGAAAAGUUGUCAGCACUGGAAAAUUUAAGAUAGGUCUUUCUUAAUCACUCCAGGGACCAUUUAUUUCACACUCCUCAAGAAAACUUCACAAGGUGGUUGAAAGAGGGAAUUGUAAAAUGUUAUCUGUUAUGUGUGUGUUAAUUAAGUAUAUGAAUGUA